RNAcentral lists this ribosomal RNA (251 nucleotides) under uncultured prokaryote. Its description in RNAcentral is "partial 16S rRNA". It matches the Rfam family "Bacterial small subunit ribosomal RNA", at positions 525 to 775 of the family's 1533-position model. The record is from RNAcentral.
ACGUAGGGGGCAAGCGUUGCUCGGAAUUACUGGGCGUAAAGGGUGUGUAGGUGGCUGAUUAAGUUAAGGAUGAAAUCCCGAGGCUCAACUUCGGAACUGUCUUUGAUACUGGUCAGCUUGAGGUUCGUAAAGGAGAGGGGAAUUCCCGGUGUAGCGGUGAAAUGCGUUGAUAUCGGGAGGACCACCUGUGGCGAAGGCGGUUAACUGGAAUGGACCUGACGCUGAGUCACGAAAGCUAGGGGAGCGAACAG